CAGCCGCCACGGUAAUACGUAGGGUGCAAGCGUUAAUCGGAAUUACUGGGCGUAAAGCGUGCGCAGGCGGUUUGUUAAGACAGAUGUGAAAUCCCCGGGCUCAACCUGGGAACUGCAUUUGUGACUGGCAAGCUAGAGUCUGGCAGAGGGGGGUGGAACUCCGCGUGUAGCAGUGAAAUGCGUAGAUAUGCGGAGGAACACCGAUGGCGAAGGCAGCCCCCUGGGCCAACACUGACGCUCAUGCACGAAAGCGUGGGGAGCAAACAGGAUUAGAGACCCCUGUAGUCCCUGUCUCUUAUAA
This 301-nucleotide ribosomal RNA is filed under the name uncultured bacterium. RNAcentral describes it as "partial 16S ribosomal RNA". It matches the Rfam family "Bacterial small subunit ribosomal RNA", at positions 509 to 809 of the family's 1533-position model. The record is from RNAcentral.